RNAcentral lists this ribosomal RNA (2000 nucleotides) under Escherichia coli. RNAcentral's name for it is "partial 23S ribosomal RNA". It matches the Rfam family "Bacterial large subunit ribosomal RNA", at positions 816 to 2797 of the family's 2925-position model. The record is from RNAcentral. Lineage: Bacteria; Pseudomonadati; Pseudomonadota; Gammaproteobacteria; Enterobacterales; Enterobacteriaceae.
UGGGGGUGAAAGGCCAAUCAAACCGGGAGAUAGCUGGUUCUCCCCGAAAGCUAUUUAGGUAGCGCCUCGUGAAUUCAUCUCCGGGGGUAGAGCACUGUUUCGGCAAGGGGGUCAUCCCGACUUACCAACCCGAUGCAAACUGCGAAUACCGGAGAAUGUUAUCACGGGAGACACACGGCGGGUGCUAACGUCCGUCGUGAAGAGGGAAACAACCCAGACCGCCAGCUAAGGUCCCAAAGUCAUGGUUAAGUGGGAAACGAUGUGGGAAGGCCCAGACAGCCAGGAUGUUGGCUUAGAAGCAGCCAUCAUUUAAAGAAAGCGUAAUAGCUCACUGGUCGAGUCGGCCUGCGCGGAAGAUGUAACGGGGCUAAACCAUGCACCGAAGCUGCGGCAGCGACACUAUGUGUUGUUGGGUAGGGGAGCGUUCUGUAAGCCUGUGAAGGUGGCCUGUGAGGGUUGCUGGAGGUAUCAGAAGUGCGAAUGCUGACAUAAGUAACGAUAAAGCGGGUGAAAAGCCCGCUCGCCGGAAGACCAAGGGUUCCUGUCCAACGUUAAUCGGGGCAGGGUGAGUCGACCCCUAAGGCGAGGCCGAAAGGCGUAGUCGAUGGGAAACAGGUUAAUAUUCCUGUACUUGGUGUUACUGCGAAGGGGGGACGGAGAAGGCUAUGUUGGCCGGGCGACGGUUGUCCCGGUUUAAGCGUGUAGGCUGGUUUUCCAGGCAAAUCCGGAAAACCAAGGCUGAGGCGUGAUGACGAGGCACUACGGUGCUGAAGCGACAAAUGCCCUGCUUCCAGGAAAAGCCUCUAAGCAUCAGGUAACAUCAAAUCGUACCCCAAACCGACACAGGUGGUCAGGUAGAGAAUACCAAGGCGCUUGAGAGAACUCGGGUGAAGGAACUAGGCAAAAUGGUGCCGUAACUUCGGGAGAAGGCACGCUGAUAUGUAGGUGAAGCGACUUGCUCGUGGAGCUGAAAUCAGUCGAAGAUACCAGCUGGCUGCAACUGUUUAUUAAAAACACAGCACUGUGCAAACACGAAAGUGGACGUAUACGGUGUGACGCCUGCCCGGUGCCGGAAGGUUAAUUGAUGGGGUUAGCGGUAACGCGAAGCUCUUGAUCGAAGCCCCGGUAAACGGCGGCCGUAACUAUAACGGUCCUAAGGUAGCGAAAUUCCUUGUCGGGUAAGUUCCGACCUGCACGAAUGGCGUAAUGAUGGCCAGGCUGUCUCCACCCGAGACUCAGUGAAAUUGAACUCGCUGUGAAGAUGCAGUGUACCCGCGGCAAGACGGAAAGACCCCGUGAACCUUUACUAUAGCUUGACACUGAACAUUGAGCCUUGAUGUGUAGGAUAGGUGGGAGGCUUUGAAGUGUGGACGCCAGUCUGCAUGGAGCCGACCUUGAAAUACCACCCUUUAAUGUUUGAUGUUCUAACGUUGGCCCGUAAUCCGGGUUGCGGACAGUGUCUGGUGGGUAGUUUGACUGGGGCGGUCUCCUCCUAAAGAGUAACGGAGGAGCACGAAGGUUGGCUAAUCCUGGUCGGACAUCAGGAGGUUAGUGCAAUGGCAUAAGCCAGCUUGACUGCGAGCGUGACGGCGCGAGCAGGUGCGAAAGCAGGUCAUAGUGAUCCGGUGGUUCUGAAUGGAAGGGCCAUCGCUCAACGGAUAAAAGGUACUCCGGGGAUAACAGGCUGAUACCGCCCAAGAGUUCAUAUCGACGGCGGUGUUUGGCACCUCGAUGUCGGCUCAUCACAUCCUGGGGCUGAAGUAGGUCCCAAGGGUAUGGCUGUUCGCCAUUUAAAGUGGUACGCGAGCUGGGUUUAGAACGUCGUGAGACAGUUCGGUCCCUAUCUGCCGUGGGCGCUGGAGAACUGAGGGGGGCUGCUCCUAGUACGAGAGGACCGGAGUGGACGCAUCACUGGUGUUCGGGUUGUCAUGCCAAUGGCACUGCCCGGUAGCUAAAUGCGGAAGAGAUAAGUGCUGAAAGCAUCUAAGCACGAAACUUGC